UCCUGCUUCCCGCAGUAGGCGGGCGGGCUGGAGGCCUCGACUAAGCCGCUUUCCACCACACAAACCAAAAGAUAAGACGCCACUUGCAUUAUUCCUCCCGCCAGUUGGGAUUAAAACGCGCGCACGCGCGCGCACGCGCACUGCUUGAGGAUGAGUGGUCGCCGGAUGGUUUGUGACAGCGAGUUGGAGCGAGCAUGUUUCAUGUAGGGUUGUCACAAGAACCGAUACUUCCGCUACCAAUUCGGUAACAACCCGCAAAAAAUACGUCGGUACCUGCUUUUUUUGUGGUACCGUUAGAACCGAAUAUUUUCUAAUUUUCUAAGCAGCAUUUAACUUUUCAUUCGGCGAGCGCGCUGUGUCGAUUGUUGCCAGAACUGAAGGGGGCAGUAUGGAGCAACAGUCAGCGGCGCUGAAGAAGAAGAAAAACUUUCGGUAAUUCAUAUCAAUGGCUUCAGCAAGUGGGAGUGGGAGUUCAACACGCCGGCCGGUGUUAUAGGUUAACUUGCUCCCAUGUUAUCUUGCUUUCCGUCUUCAGUUUUCAGAUUUGUCACAAGCGACAUGGAACUUGCCUGACUGCAAAAAAUAUUAAAAUAUUUUUUAAAAAUGGCGAUUCUCUCCCAAUUACAUCCGUCGGUUCUGGUCAAGACGCUUGUCUCGGUCACGUGACAUGGCACGUCAGUCGAGCCCGCGAAGCAAGCAAAAAUAAGCAAGAAACAUGUUUGGAAGGCUUCUUCGGAAAGGGAAAACCCCCCAAUGAGGAGACGGAAGAAGAGGCUACGACUUCUAAGAAAAGGAAAGCUGCAUUUAAAAGAACAUUUCUGGAGUCCUACUUAAAAUAUGGACUUAUCGCCAGCGGUGACUCUGAUGUAUGGCGACAGGCUAGCUAACGAGGCAAUGAAGCCUUCAAAACUGCUUCGACACAUGGAGACCAAGCAUCCUGCAUUAAAAGACAAACCUUAACCACUUCCGGUGUCUUUGUCUCCGAUUACGCCUAGAUGGCACCGGCGGCUCGUUUCUGAGAAACAAGCUCAGUGCUCCCACUAUUUCAACGUAAUGGACGCUGGCCAUAGGAUGGAUGGAUUGAAGAGCAAGCUAGAAUUACAACACGGUAGCUACGGGUUGAUUGCCAACCAUUGAUUCAUACGGCUUUGCUUUUCGGGCAGUUCUUUCCGGGACUGGGUAAGUAACUUCUGUGCUUAAAUAGUGUUGUUUUGUCAUGUUUCGUGUAUUUUGAGCUCAUAUUUUGUCUUUUAAAUGUGUCAUGCCCCGCAUACGGACCGCGUACGGACCGCGUACGGACCGCGUACGGACCGUGUAAGGACCGCGUACGGAUCAUGCAAGUUCAAGCUUUUGCUGCACUGUAUUUGCAUUGUUUUUGGUGCUUUUAUGUAUCCCUUUAGAGAAAAGGAGACAAAUUGCUUCAGAACGCGAUGCCUUCGCCGCUCAACGCUCCUUCUGGAACAAACGAGUGAUGAGAUCCGGGGUUCUGUUGUAUCCGUGUUGGUGUGUGUGUGAGUGUGUGUGUGAAGUUACCUUUGAGAUAGCAAUUUAACAGCUGAGUACACACACACACACAAUCAGGGCUUACUACACACUAGGGAGCUGAGAGAGCAUCACAGAAAAAAGCCUGAUCCAAAGAGACAAGUAAGGAUUGUUCACAACCAUGUGUGCAUCUGUGUGCGUGUGCAAGUGUAUGUAAAAGGCACACUUUGUCAAUUUAACAUUAUCAGACGACUGAUAGCUCUAAUUCUCUCGCCACGCACGCACGCACGCAUGCACGGACGCACCCACGCGCGCACCCACUGUGUCUGUGACAGCAGAGGUGACUUUUGAGGAAAUGCGGCGGAAGUAGAGAAACUAGGAAGAUGAAUAAAACACAGUUAAGGGGAUGAAGACUACUUAUCAUCAUGAUGGGUGACAGAUGAUUGAGAGCUGUCAGUCAUCAUGAUGAAAAAAGUUCAACAGAGCAGCUGACAUGUUCACGUCCAACGUCAACAGCUCGACUUUCAGUGAGUACGCUCCAAAUACUCGGCUUUGGGUUUGACGUGCUGGGGAUACAAAUGCUGCGCCGUGCACACACAUGGGCACCUGUGUGUGGAGCUCUAUCAAAAAACAAGGAAUUAAUGUUAUCUCCUAAACACACACACGCGUAUGAGGCGGCGGUGAUGAAACCAAGAUUGAGGACAGCCAUGUAGGUGAGGAGGAGGAAGGUGAAGAGAAGGAUGAAGGCUAGCAAAUGCAAAUGUGUUUGCACGGCACGGGGGUGUGCGACACGAGGAGACACGCCGUGAGUGAGUGCGUGCGUGCGUGCGUGCGCAUGUGUUUGCGUGUUCCCAUCUAGUGCGGUGCCCUUCUAUUGAGGAUUCCCACUAUCUGGGUCUCCCGCAGUGAAUGUUAAACAGCGAUGAAGAGGAACAGGAAGUGCUCUUCCCCUUACGUAAGAUCCCAGCGGACGUCCUCACAUUUCACAAGCAUUUGGUUCAUUCCGACAGGCGCCGGCCGACAUUGUGGCGGAAUCUGGGCGGCUGAGCUUCACUCUCCUGCAAAUUUCCCAAAUUGGAGCCUCCUGAUCUUCAUCACUACUUCAAGCACCUCCUAGCCUCCGAGCUGCGUUUUCGACAGCAAACUGCAAAUAAGGCUCUCUCUCGCACACAUGAUAAAAAGCACCAAAGUGAGUCAGUGUUGGAUGUGAUGAGGAUGAGGGGGCGGGCACUGCUGCUCAGAUGACUCACUAAGGGAGACCAUCAUGACGAGGAGGAGGGAGAUGAUGAGGACAAACAAGAUGAAGAUGAUGACCCCAACUGUCCGUGCGGCACUCGGUUGACCUCAGGUGACCUCUGGCGCUUCAAUGUCAUUGGCUGACGUGGACACUCCCUAUCAUUGGAACUCUGACCUUGCCUGCGGGUCAUCUGUGUUUGUUUGUUGUUUUCAUUUUGAAACGUGAUUGUUGAUGCAAAUGAGCUCGACAAAGAGACAUCAAAGGCAGUGGAAGAAGCCUGUUUGGAGAAGAUAAAAGCAGAAAACACCAGCCGUCGUCAUUGGAAGGAGCUGCUUGGAACACAGGACAAACCCCAGGUCUUGCGUCUGCACUCCGGUGGAUCCCCCCUUUCAGCACAGCUGCUCGCUUUUUUGAGAGUCUUUUGCGUGACAGAAGG
This is a long non-coding RNA of Syngnathus typhle (broad-nosed pipefish), 3155 nucleotides long. RefSeq lists it as uncharacterized. The record is from RefSeq and is a predicted model, not a curated record. NCBI's taxonomy places the organism in Eukaryota, Metazoa, Chordata, Actinopteri, Syngnathiformes, Syngnathidae. The transcript has 3 exons.